Molecule: ribosomal RNA, 253 nt
Filed under: uncultured bacterium
Lineage: Bacteria
Description: partial 16S ribosomal RNA
Rfam family: Bacterial small subunit ribosomal RNA
Source: RNAcentral
UACAGGGGGUGCAAACGUUGCUCGGAAUCAUUGGGCGUAAAGCGCACGUAGGCGGUUCGUUAUGUCGGAUGUGAAAGCCCUUGGCUUAACCGAGGAAGUGCAUCCGAAACUGGCGAGCUAGAGUACUAAAGAGGAUCGCGGAAUUCCCAGUGUAGAGGUGAAAUUCGUAGAUAUCGGGAGGAACACCGGUGGCGAAGGCGGCGAUCUGGGUAGAUACUGACGCUGAGGUGCGAAAGCGUGGGGAGCAAACAGG